Molecule: long non-coding RNA, 419 nt
Filed under: Gossypium raimondii (Peruvian cotton)
Lineage: Eukaryota; Viridiplantae; Streptophyta; Magnoliopsida; Malvales; Malvaceae
Description: long non-coding RNA (GRAI_LNC010039)
Source: RNAcentral
UAAAUUUAAGGCUAGUAGCCUCUUGAUAGUUCCAGCAUACAAUCUUAAUAUCCAUAAAACCAAAAUAAACAAAAAAAAAGCACUUACUGCCCCGUUGACAUACGGUCUGCUAUAAGAGUCUCUCCCCACCUUGCUCGAUUGCCUUAUCCUGAUGAAUCGAAUCUUUCUCAACUGGAUCUUCCAUCAAAUUCUCUAAACCCAAGUUGACCCUCCCCACAGUCGCCACUUCCAUAGGUAUCUCGAGUUCAUCUUCUAAAUCAAGAGCUUUAUUUGAAUCAUCAAGCUCUUUUGAGAGAGAGAGAGUAAACCUACUAUGCUAAAAUAGUAUUUGAAGGUGGUUUUUGUUCCACUCUCUUACACACUUUAUGCCCCAUUUGAUAAUCUCUUUCAUGGAUAAAGCUUUGUUUUUUACUGUUGAU